This 618-nucleotide ribosomal RNA is filed under the name uncultured bacterium. RNAcentral describes it as "bacterial SSU rRNA". It matches the Rfam family "Bacterial small subunit ribosomal RNA", at positions 338 to 955 of the family's 1533-position model. The record is from RNAcentral.
CCUACGGGAGGCAGCAGUGGGGAAUUUUGGACAAUGGGCGAAAGCCUGAUCCAGCAAUGCCGCGUGAGUGAAGAAGGCCUUCGGGUUGUAAAGCUCUUUUGUCAGGGAAGAAACGGUGCGGGCUAAUAUCCUGCACUAAUGACGGUACCUGAAGAAUAAGCACCGGCUAACUACGUGCCAGCAGCCGCGGUAAUACGUAGGGUGCAAGCGUUAAUCGGAAUUACUGGGCGUAAAGCGUGCGCAGGCGGUUUUGUAAGUCUGUCGUGAAAUCCCCGGGCUCAACCUGGGAAUUGCGAUGGAGACUGCAAGGCUAGAAUCUGGCAGAGGGGGGUAGAAUUCCACGUGUAGCAGUGAAAUGCGUAGAGAUGUGGAGGAACACCGAGGGCGAAGGCAGCCCCCUGGGUCAAGAUUGACGCUCAUGCACGAAAGCGUGGGGAGCAAACAGGAUUAGAUACCCUGGUAGUCCACGCCCUAAACGAUGUCUACUAGUUGUCGGGUUUUAAUUAACUUGGUAACGCAGCUAACGCGUGAAGUAGACCGCCUGGGGAUACGGUCGCAAGNUUAAAACUUAAGAUAGUAGACGUGAGACGAGCGACGACGACGACGACGGAGGAGGAG